Molecule: ribosomal RNA, 253 nt
Filed under: uncultured bacterium
Lineage: Bacteria
Description: partial 16S ribosomal RNA
Rfam family: Bacterial small subunit ribosomal RNA
Source: RNAcentral
UACGGAGGGAGCUAGCGUUGUUCGGAAUUACUGGGCGUAAAGCGUACGUAGGCGGCUUUGUAAGUUAGAGGUGAAAGCCCGGAGCUCAACUCCGGAACUGCCUUUAAGACUGCAUCGCUAGAAUCCGGGAGAGGUGAGUGGAAUUCCGAGUGUAGAGGUGAAAUGCGCAGAUAUCAGGAAGAACACCCGUGGCGAAAGCGGCUCUCUGGAACGGUACUGACGCUGAGACGCGAAAGCGUGGGGAGCGAACAGG